Molecule: long non-coding RNA, 1063 nt
Organism: Micropterus salmoides (largemouth bass)
Lineage: Eukaryota; Metazoa; Chordata; Actinopteri; Centrarchiformes; Centrarchidae
Exons: 3
Source: RefSeq, a predicted model, not a curated record
GAGGACAGGUCAGGUGGCUCAUAAUGGGCAUCGUGCGAGAACCACUCGUACGAACAGAUUUGAUCUUAAGUGGCUUGUACGAGUGGUAUAGGAGAACUUGCCGCACAAACGCAGUAUAUGAGCCUGUUAGUUAGUCUGCCGUUGUCCAAACCUUAAAUUAUAAUACAAAAUAUUAAAUUACACUUCAUAAUUGCGUUGACAUUAUCCAUAUAAAUGUUCUCUCUGUCAGUGUGUGCUUUAUUGGCAGAGUUGGAUCAGGUGUGCAGGAGUUUGGCGGCAGCAGCAGCCUCCUCUGCUUUACAUGCCUUCCUCUCCCGAACAGUUAGUCUCAUUCCAGCUCUUGUAACGUGUCUCAGUGUUUUUGCUCCCUGGUUAAGGCCUUUUUCUUUCUGCCUCCAGUCAUUCCUGGUCCAACUCCUGCCUCCGUCCCACAGUCCCGAUCAGCCCGAACCUGCGCUGGAUCUACACAACUCUUCCCUCUGCUCGGAUCCUCAGUCCCUCUGGGCUGCCUGUCCACCUGCCUCGCCUGGUUUUGCUCCCCGAUUCAAAGCCCCACCCAAAACCAAGAGACCCUUAAAUUACUUACUUACUCUGUUUGGCAAUAAUCUCUUUUGCACAUUUUGGUCUCUGGGUCUGCUCCUUUAGCUUGCAUAACAGCUAUUGUGUAAUACUACAACAUCAAAAGGCUUAAAUGAUGCAGUAAUUGAAGGUUAAUUCGUCUCUGUACCUGAGAGACAAUCGUGAGAGGCGCAACUCCGCAGACAGCCACAACGAUCCAACCCUUUUCCGUUAAUUUCACUGCUGGCGCUGUUAAAAAUCAUAGAUUUCCUUUUUGAAAGCAGGACUCCAAUCUCCGAUCAGACGAUGUCGUUUUCAGGAAUGAACGCUUCUUGACAUAUGGGGCAGGAUGCCUUAUAUGGGUUCACUUACACACAUUACCUGAAGUGGGAGUGUUUGCUGAAUCGGACACGCAAACAAAAAACAUCAUCUUUCCAUCUCCCCCAGCGUAAACCGGCACCAGAGAGACGGUGUAGAGGGUGUCGGGCUGCAGGCUUCGCAAGAC